This 292-nucleotide ribosomal RNA is filed under the name uncultured bacterium. RNAcentral describes it as "partial 16S ribosomal RNA". It matches the Rfam family "Bacterial small subunit ribosomal RNA", at positions 505 to 796 of the family's 1533-position model. The record is from RNAcentral.
GUUACAGCAGCCGCGGUAAUACAGAGGAGCCAAGCGUUGUCCGGAUUGACUGGGCGUAAAGCGCACGCAGGCGGACGCGCGCGUGGGGUGUGAAAUCUGGCCGCUUAACGGCCAGGCGCCAUCCCAUACGGCGCGUCUGGAGCCUUGCAGAGGUCGAUGGAAUUGCCGGUGUAGUGGUGAAAUGCAUAGAGAUCGGCAGGAACACCCAGGGGGAAACCAGUCGACUGGGCAAGUGCUGACGCUGAGGUGCGAGAGCGUGGGGAGCGAACCGGAUUAGAUACCCUCGUAGUCC